CUCCGGUGAUCCCCGCCGGACCCGACUGCUAUCAGAGUGGGACUAAGCCAUGCGAGUCAACGCAGCAAUGCGUGGCAUACGGCUCAGUAACACGUAGUCAACAUGCCCAGGGGACGUGGAUAACCUCGGGAAACUGAGGAUAAACCGCGAUAGGCCAAGGUUUCUGGAAUGGACACUGGCUGAAACCUAUAUGGCCCCUGGAUUGGACUGCGGCCGAUCAGGCUGUUGGUGAGGUAAUGGCCCACCAAACCUGUAACCGGUACGGGCUUUGAGAGAAGGAGCCCGGAGAUGGGCACUGAGACAAGGGCCCAGGCCCUAUGGGGCGCAGCAGGCGCGAAACCUCUGCAAUAGGCGAAAGCUUGACAGGGUUACUCUGAGUGAUGCCCGCUAAGGGCAUCUUUUGGCACCUCUAAAAAUGGUGCAGAAUAAGGGGUGGGCAAGUCUGGUGUCAGCCGCCGCGGUAAUACCAGCACCCCGAGUGGUCGGGACGAUUAUUGGGCCUAAAGCAUCCGUAGCUUGUUCUGCAAGUCCUCCGUUAAAUCCACCUGCUCAACAGAUGGGCUGCGGGGGAUACUACAGGGCUAGGAGGCGGGAGAGGCAAACGGUACUCAGUGGGUAGGGGUAAAAUCCUCUGAUCCACUGAAGACCACCAGUGGCGAAGGCGGUUUGCCAGAACGCGCUCGACGGUGAGGGAUGAAAGCUGGGGGAGCAAACCGGAUUAGAUACCCGGGUAGUCCCAGCUGUAAACGAUGCAGACUCGGUGAUGGGUUGGCUUUGAGCCAACCCAGUGCCGCAGGGAAGCCGUUAAGUCUGCCGCCUGGGGAGUACGGUCGCAAGACUGAAACUUAAAGGAAUUGGCGGGGGAAGCA
This 869-nucleotide ribosomal RNA is filed under the name uncultured archaeon. RNAcentral describes it as "bacterial SSU rRNA". It matches the Rfam family "Archaeal small subunit ribosomal RNA", at positions 1 to 879 of the family's 1478-position model. The record is from RNAcentral.